Nyctereutes procyonoides (raccoon dog) is the source of this 525-nucleotide long non-coding RNA. RefSeq lists it as uncharacterized. The record is from RefSeq and is a predicted model, not a curated record. Lineage: Eukaryota; Metazoa; Chordata; Mammalia; Carnivora; Canidae. The transcript has 2 exons.
CCUGGGGCCCGGGAGGUCGGCGGGGGUCGGCGCUCCUGAGCCUGAGCGGGCGGAGCGGUUGGAACACGAGGUGGUAGUGAAACCCCAUGAGGACAGGACAGGAACUAGAAGAGUCAACUGUAAAUGGAACCAUUCCCAGAGCUCACACCACUGUCCCCAUGACCUCCAGGAGCCAGUCUUCAGAGUUCCUGAGUUAUGUGUCCACUUUGGGUAUGGCUGCUCCUCCAGUCCCUAGGCCAGCAUUUCCCAAAGCACCAUCCAUUUUAGAAAUUUGCUUUAAAAUCAUUUUGGGGGGACACCUGGGUGGCUCAGUCAUUUGGGUGUCUGCCUUCAGCUCAGGUCAUGAUCUCAGGGUCCUGGGAUUGAGUCCUCAGGUUCCAGGCUCAGUGGGGGGGGGGGGGUCUGCUUUUCCCUCUCCCUCUGCUGCUCCCCCUGCUUGUGCUCUCACAUGUGCUGUCUCUGUCUCUCUCUCGUAAGUGGAUAAAAAUAUUUACAUAAAUAAAAUCAUGUUUUGUGCCAGUUUUA